Non-coding RNA from Macaca mulatta (Rhesus monkey), 222 nucleotides. The record is from RefSeq and is a predicted model, not a curated record. Lineage: Eukaryota; Metazoa; Chordata; Mammalia; Primates; Cercopithecidae.
UGUGCACUCCUUAUGAGAAUCUAAUGCCUGAUGUUCUGUCACUGUCUCCCAUCACCCUAGAUGGACAGUGUCGUUGCAGGAAAACAAGCUCAGAGAUCCCACUGAGUCUACAUUAUACUGGAUCUACCAUGAAAGACUUCUGAAUCCAGGAAGAGAGACUGACUGGGCAACAUGUUAUUCAGGAGAUGAGGUCUCACCCUGUCACCCAGGCUGGAGUACAGU